ACGAAUGGCCCUGAUCGGGCCUUCAACCCUCAAAAACCGUGGAAGCAAGCCGUGCUUCGACGCCCCCGUGGCGUCGUAUUUAUGCAACCGACCUGCCUGUGUCUGAAUUGAAUCUAGAAUUA
Molecule: unclassified non-coding RNA, 122 nt
Filed under: uncultured Archaeorhizomyces
Lineage: Eukaryota; Fungi; Ascomycota; Archaeorhizomycetes; Archaeorhizomycetales; Archaeorhizomycetaceae
Description: sequence contains ITS1
Source: RNAcentral